AAAAGUCGUAACAAGGUUUCCGUAAUCCAACGUUAAACACCCCCCCCAAGCAGUCAGUGUCGGAAAGUGUCAUUGAUUGUGCAAGGAUAGCGCUUCACGAUUCCUGUAGACCGCAGGAGCUAUGCCAGGGUCCCCAUGCCCCCUUACAACCCCACAGUUAAUGUAAAGCUCAAUGUAAUACAUUGGGUAAAAAAAACCGAACAACUGUUAACAAUGGAUAUCUUGGUUCUC
Molecule: unclassified non-coding RNA, 231 nt
Filed under: fungal sp.
Lineage: Eukaryota; Fungi
Description: partial internal transcribed spacer region
Source: RNAcentral